RNAcentral lists this ribosomal RNA (1293 nucleotides) under Bacillus sp. FXY01. Its description in RNAcentral is "bacterial SSU rRNA". It matches the Rfam family "Bacterial small subunit ribosomal RNA", at positions 75 to 1353 of the family's 1533-position model. RNAcentral also lists the same sequence under 1 other name. The record is from RNAcentral. Lineage: Bacteria; Bacillati; Bacillota; Bacilli; Caryophanales; Bacillaceae.
GGAGCUUGCUCCCGGAUGUUAGCGGCGGACGGGUGAGUAACACGUGGGUAACCUGCCUGUAAGACUGGGAUAACUCCGGGAAACCGGAGCUAAUACCGGAUAGUUCCUUGAACCGCAUGGUUCAAGGAUGAAAGACGGUUUCGGCUGUCACUUACAGAUGGACCCGCGGCGCAUUAGCUAGUUGGUGAGGUAACGGCUCACCAAGGCGACGAUGCGUAGCCGACCUGAGAGGGUGAUCGGCCACACUGGGACUGAGACACGGCCCAGACUCCUACGGGAGGCAGCAGUAGGGAAUCUUCCGCAAUGGACGAAAGUCUGACGGAGCAACGCCGCGUGAGUGAUGAAGGUUUUCGGAUCGUAAAGCUCUGUUGUUAGGGAAGAACAAGUGCAAGAGUAACUGCUUGCACCUUGACGGUACCUAACCAGAAAGCCACGGCUAACUACGUGCCAGCAGCCGCGGUAAUACGUAGGUGGCAAGCGUUGUCCGGAAUUAUUGGGCGUAAAGGGCUCGCAGGCGGUUUCUUAAGUCUGAUGUGAAAGCCCCCGGCUCAACCGGGGAGGGUCAUUGGAAACUGGGAAACUUGAGUGCAGAAGAGGAGAGUGGAAUUCCACGUGUAGCGGUGAAAUGCGUAGAGAUGUGGAGGAACACCAGUGGCGAAGGCGACUCUCUGGUCUGUAACUGACGCUGAGGAGCGAAAGCGUGGGGAGCGAACAGGAUUAGAUACCCUGGUAGUCCACGCCGUAAACGAUGAGUGCUAAGUGUUAGGGGGUUUCCGCCCCUUAGUGCUGCAGCUAACGCAUUAAGCACUCCGCCUGGGGAGUACGGUCGCAAGACUGAAACUCAAAGGAAUUGACGGGGGCCCGCACAAGCGGUGGAGCAUGGUGGUUUAAUUCGAAGCAACGCGAAGAACCUUACCAGGUCUUGACAUCCUCUGACAACCCUAGAGAUAGGGCUUUCCCUUCGGGGACAGAGUGACAGGUGGUGCAUGGUUGUCGUCAGCUCGUGUCGUGAGAUGUUGGGUUAAGUCCCGCAACGAGCGCAACCCUUGAUCUUAGUUGCCAGCAUUCAGUUGGGCACUCUAAGGUGACUGCCGGUGACAAACCGGAGGAAGGUGGGGAUGACGUCAAAUCAUCAUGCCCCUUAUGACCUGGGCUACACACGUGCUACAAUGGACAGAACAAAGGGCUGCGAGACCGCAAGGUUUAGCCAAUCCCACAAAUCUGUUCUCAGUUCGGAUCGCAGUCUGCAACUCGACUGCGUGAAGCUGGAAUCGCUAGUAAUCGCGGAUCAGC